Molecule: ribosomal RNA, 454 nt
Filed under: uncultured bacterium
Lineage: Bacteria
Description: partial 16S ribosomal RNA
Rfam family: Bacterial small subunit ribosomal RNA
Source: RNAcentral
GAUGAACGCUGACAGAAUGCUUAACACAUGCAAGUCUACUUGAACUUCGGUCUGGGUGGCGGACGGGUGAGUAACGCGUAAAGAACUUGCCUCACAGAUAGGGACAACAUUUGGAAACGAAUGCUAAUACCUGAUAUUAUGAUUUUAGGGCAUCCUAGAAUUAUGAAAGCUAUAUGCACUGUGAGAGAGCUUUGCGUCCCAUUAGCUAGUUGGAGAGGUAACGGCUCACCAAGGCGAUGAUGGGUAGCCGGCCUGAGAGGGUGAUCGGCCACAAGGGGACUAAGACACGGCCCUUACGCCUACGGGAGGCAACAGUGGGGAAUAUUGGACAAUAGACCAAGAGUCUGAUCCAGCAAUUCUGUGUGCACGAUGAAGUUUUUCGGAAUGUAAAGUGCUUUCAGUUGAGAAGAAAAAAAUGACGGUACCAACAGAAGAAGUGACGGCUAAAUACGUG